AUGUGCCUGUAGCUCAGUCGGUAGAGCAAAACCCUGUUAAGGUUGAGGUCGUAGGUUCGAGCCCUACCAGGUA
Molecule: transfer RNA, 73 nt
Filed under: Bacillus phage BCU4
Lineage: Duplodnaviria; Heunggongvirae; Uroviricota; Caudoviricetes; Herelleviridae
Description: tRNA-Asn
Rfam family: tRNA
About the family: Transfer RNA (tRNA) molecules are approximately 80 nucleotides in length.
Source: RNAcentral